RNAcentral lists this ribosomal RNA (449 nucleotides) under uncultured bacterium. Its description in RNAcentral is "bacterial SSU rRNA". It matches the Rfam family "Bacterial small subunit ribosomal RNA", at positions 355 to 796 of the family's 1533-position model. The record is from RNAcentral.
UAGGGAAUCUUCCGCAAUGGACGAAAGUCUGACGGAGCAACGCCGCGUGAGUGAUGAAGGUUUUCGGAUCGUAAAACUCUGUUGUUAGGGAAGAACAAGUAUGAUAGUAACUGAUCAUACCUUGACGGUACCUAACCAGAAAGCCACGGCUAACUACGUGCCAGCAGCCGCGGUAAUACGUAGGUGGCAAGCGUUGUCCGGAAUUAUUGGGCGUAAAGCGCUCGCAGGCGGUCUUUUAAGUCUGAUGUGAAAUCUCGUGGCUUAACCACGAACGGUCAUUGGAAACUGGAGGACUUGAGUACAGAAGAGGAGAGUGGAAUUCCACGUGUAGCGGUGAAAUGCGUAGAGAUGUGGAGGAACACCAGUGGCGAAGGCGACUCUCUGGUCUGUAACUGACGCUGAGGAGCGAAAGCGUGGGGAGCGAACAGGAUUAGAUACCCCGGUAGUCC